This 429-nucleotide ribosomal RNA is filed under the name Actinomycetes bacterium. RNAcentral's name for it is "Actinobacteria bacterium partial 16S ribosomal RNA". It matches the Rfam family "Bacterial small subunit ribosomal RNA", at positions 355 to 776 of the family's 1533-position model. Lineage: Bacteria; Bacillati; Actinomycetota; Actinomycetes. The record is from RNAcentral.
UAGGGAAUCUUACGCAAUGGGCGAAAGCCUGACGGAGCAACGCCGCGUGAGUGAUGAAGGUCUUCGGAUAGUAAAACUCUGUUAUUAGGGAAGAACAAAUGUGUAAGUAACUAUGCACGUCUUGACGGUACCUAAUCAGAAAGCCACGGCUAACUACGUGCCAGCAGCCGCGGUAAUACGUAGGUGGCAAGCGUUAUCCGGAAUUAUUGGGCGUAAAGCGCGCGUAGGCGGUUUUUUAAGUCUGAUGUGAAAGCCCACGGCUCAACCGUGGAGGGUCAUUGGAAACUGGAAAACUUGAGUGCAGAAGAGGAAAGUGGAAUUCCAUGUGUAGCGGUGAAAUGCGCAGAGAUAUGGAGGAACACCAGUGGCGAAGGCGACUUUCUGGUCUGUAACUGACGCUGAUGUGCGAAAGCGUGGGGAUCAAACAGG